Molecule: ribosomal RNA, 288 nt
Filed under: Staphylococcus aureus
Lineage: Bacteria; Bacillati; Bacillota; Bacilli; Caryophanales; Staphylococcaceae
Description: partial 23S ribosomal RNA
Rfam family: Bacterial large subunit ribosomal RNA
Source: RNAcentral
GGAGGUUUGGCACCUCGAUGUCGGCUCAUCGCAUCCUGGGGCUGUAGUCGGUCCCAAGGGUUGGGCUGUUCGCCCAUUAAAGCGGUACGCGAGCUGGGUUCAGAACGUCGUGAGACAGUUCGGUCCCUAUCCGUCGUGGGCGUAGGAAAUUUGAGAGGAGCUGUCCUUAGUACGAGAGGACCGGGAUGGACAUACCUCUGGUGUACCAGUUGUCGUGCCAACGGCAUAGCUGGGUAGCUAUGUGUGGACGGGAUAAGUGCUGAAAGCAUCUAAGCAUGAAGCCCCCCU